Arachis ipaensis is the source of this 496-nucleotide non-coding RNA. NCBI's taxonomy places the organism in Eukaryota, Viridiplantae, Streptophyta, Magnoliopsida, Fabales, Fabaceae. The record is from RefSeq and is a predicted model, not a curated record.
UUUACUUUUCAUUCAUAUAUAAUAUGAACAUAUAAUUAUUGACAAUAAUGCACCUCACACUAAAUUAUGAUUAAUAUUAUUGUUUAUUUGGAGCUGUAUAUUAUUUCCUUUACUUUUCUUUCUAGGUUUAUUUCUCACUAUAUAUCAACUACUCAUGUCUAUCCAAGUAGAAUCUUGUUAUGCCUUUUCUCACUAGUAAAUUAUAUGGUGUAUAUUAUUGUAGGAUCUACUUGUAGCAGGUACAGAUACAACAACAUAUGGAUUAGAAAGAGCAAUGACUGAAGUACUCCACAAUCCAGAGGUUAUGUCCAAAGCCAAACAAGAGUUGGAACAAAACAUUGGAAGAGUAAUCAUCUUACAAUAAGAGGUGCUUUCGUUAGAGGAAUUGGGAGCUUGCAUAAUUUGUUGCAUUGAGAAGUUUUUGCAAAGUUGUGAGGAUUUAUCAUUAUGAAGUUCUAAAGAUGUAUAGUCGAGACAUUGAAAUUAUUGGUGUUAG